RNAcentral lists this ribosomal RNA (460 nucleotides) under uncultured bacterium. Its description in RNAcentral is "partial 16S ribosomal RNA". It matches the Rfam family "Bacterial small subunit ribosomal RNA", at positions 338 to 795 of the family's 1533-position model. The record is from RNAcentral.
CCUACGGGUGGCAGCAGUGAGGAAUAUUGGUCAAUGGACGAGAGUCUGAACCAGCCAAGUAGCGUGAAGGAUGACUGCCCUAUGGGUUGUAAACUUCUUUUAUAUGGGAAUAAAAUGUUCCACGUGUGGGAUUUUGUAUGUACCAUAUGAAUAAGGAUCGGCUAACUCCGUGCCAGCAGCCGCGGUAAUACGGAGGAUCCGAGCGUUAUCCGGAUUUAUUGGGUUUGAAGGGAGCGUAGGUGGAUUGUUAAGUCAGUUGUGAAAGUUUGCGGCUCAACCGUAAAAUUGCAGUUGAAAAUGGCAGGCUUGAGUACAGUAGAGGUGGGCGGAAUUCGGGGUGUAGCGGUGAAAUGCUUAGAUAUCACGAAGAACUCCGAUUGCGAAGGCAGCUCACUGGACUGCAACUGACACUGAGGCUCGAAAGUGUGGGUAUCAAACAGGAUUAGAUACCCCGGUAGUC